AUACUCACUUCCACAGCACAUACACUAAAAUUGGAAUGAUACAGAGAAGAUUAGCAGAGCCCCUGUGCAAGGAUGACACGCAAAUUCGUGAAGCAAAUAAUAAUAGC
Dromiciops gliroides (monito del monte) is the source of this 107-nucleotide small nuclear RNA. NCBI's taxonomy places the organism in Eukaryota, Metazoa, Chordata, Mammalia, Microbiotheria, Microbiotheriidae. The record is from RefSeq and is a predicted model, not a curated record.